GAGAGAAAGAGAGAGAAUCACAGUACAUUACCUUCUUCGUCUUCGUCUAGUUACUCCAUCAUCAUGCUGCUGCUUCGUCGUCGUCGUCGUCUAUAUCUGGAAAUUGGCCAAUGGCUCUCUCAGUGUGAAGGAGGAGGGACCAAUGGGCAUUGAUUUGGUCCCGCAAAUCUCGUAGCGAAGCGCCUCUUCUCUCUCUCUCUCCUUU
Molecule: small RNA, 205 nt
Filed under: Arabidopsis thaliana (thale cress)
Lineage: Eukaryota; Viridiplantae; Streptophyta; Magnoliopsida; Brassicales; Brassicaceae
Description: ATSL107370
Source: RNAcentral